Schistocerca cancellata (South American locust) is the source of this 104-nucleotide small nuclear RNA. The record is from RefSeq and is a predicted model, not a curated record. Lineage: Eukaryota; Metazoa; Arthropoda; Insecta; Orthoptera; Acrididae.
GUGAUUCCGGCGGCACGUUAACUUUAAAUUGGAGCAUUAUAGAGAAGUUAGCAUGGCCGCUGCGCAAGGAUGACGCGCAAAAGAAGGAAUGGCGUCUUUGACUA